UGGGGAAUAUUGGACAAUGGGCGAAAGCCUGAUCCAGCCAUGCCGCGUGUGUGAAGAAGGUCUUCGGAUUGUAAAGCACUUUAAGUUGGGAGGAAGGGCAGUAAGCUAAUACCUUGCUGUUUUGACGUUACCGACAGAAUAAGCACCGGCUAACUCUGUGCCAGCAGCCGCGGUAAUACAGAGGGUGCAAGCGUUAAUCGGAAUUACUGGGCGUAAAGCGCGCGUAGGUGGUUUGUUAAGUUGGAUGUGAAAGCCCCGGGCUCAACCUGGUAACUGCAUCCAAAACUGGCAAGCUAGAGUACGGAAGAGGGUGGUGGAAUUUCCUGUGUAGCGGUGAAAUGCGUAGAUAUAGGAAGGAACACCAGUGGCGAAGGCGACCACCUGGACUGAUACUGACACUGAGGUGCGAAAGCGUGGGGAGCAAACA
RNAcentral lists this ribosomal RNA (427 nucleotides) under uncultured bacterium. Its description in RNAcentral is "partial 16S ribosomal RNA". It matches the Rfam family "Bacterial small subunit ribosomal RNA", at positions 355 to 774 of the family's 1533-position model. The record is from RNAcentral.